This 72-nucleotide transfer RNA is filed under the name Camelus bactrianus (Bactrian camel). It matches the Rfam family "tRNA". Rfam says of the family: Transfer RNA (tRNA) molecules are approximately 80 nucleotides in length. Their secondary structure includes four short double-helical elements and three loops (D, anti-codon, and T loops). RNAcentral also lists the same sequence under 2 other names. Lineage: Eukaryota; Metazoa; Chordata; Mammalia; Artiodactyla; Camelidae. The record is from Rfam by way of RNAcentral.
GAGGGUAUAGCUCACUGAGAGAGCACAUGUCUAGCAUGCACGAGGUCCUGGGUUCAAUCCCUAGUACCUUCA